UAUUUACACCCAAAUUAAGGUUUCUUUUUGUUUUGUAAAAAAAAAGGAAUUAAAAGGGAAUUUGGAUAAAUACCAAAGCUGUUCCCGCAACUGUAAGCUAGAAAGCUUGUUGUUAUCUGCAAAGUCACUGUUUAAAAUUCUAGAAUUUAGAAUUUAGAUUUCAUUUUUUUUAAGCUGAAAUCGAAAAUCCUAAAUUAAAGAUUAAGAAUGGGAAGGCAAACAACAAGACGCAAGCCAGGAGACCUGCCUUAAUUCUUAACAAAUAU
RNAcentral lists this non-coding RNA (266 nucleotides) under Flavobacterium psychrophilum. Lineage: Bacteria; Pseudomonadati; Bacteroidota; Flavobacteriia; Flavobacteriales; Flavobacteriaceae. The record is from RNAcentral.